GAACGCACAUUGCGCCCCUUGGUAUUCCGAGGGGCAUGCCUGUUCGAGCGUCAUUUAUACCAACUCCUCUGCAAAGAGGGUCUUGGACUUCGCCUCUGGGCGGGUCUCAAAAUCAGUGGCGGUGCCUUGAGGCUCUACGCGUAGUAAUACACCCCGCGAUAGAACCCUUAGGGUAUCUUGCCAGCAACCCCCAACUUCUUAGGUUGACCUCGGAUCAGGUAGGGAUACCCGCUGAACUUAAG
RNAcentral lists this unclassified non-coding RNA (242 nucleotides) under Hymenoscyphus caudatus. Its description in RNAcentral is "sequence contains 5.8S rRNA gene". The stretch from base 1 to 53 matches the Rfam family "5.8S ribosomal RNA", at positions 102 to 154 of the family's 154-position model. The record is from RNAcentral. Lineage: Eukaryota; Fungi; Ascomycota; Leotiomycetes; Helotiales; Helotiaceae.